This is a long non-coding RNA of Myotis brandtii (Brandt's bat), 130 nucleotides long. RefSeq lists it as uncharacterized. The record is from RefSeq and is a predicted model, not a curated record. The transcript is spliced from 3 exons. NCBI's taxonomy places the organism in Eukaryota, Metazoa, Chordata, Mammalia, Chiroptera, Vespertilionidae.
AUGGUGAGGAAUGCCAGCCCCCUGCAUCCGGACCAGACCAGCCUAGCUGCUGGACCCCUGAGGACAGCACCACUGGGAUCCCACUUAAGCCUGUACCCACAGCACCAGGAAUUUUGCCAGAUGGGAAGAG